Molecule: ribosomal RNA, 492 nt
Filed under: uncultured bacterium
Lineage: Bacteria
Description: partial 16S ribosomal RNA
Rfam family: Bacterial small subunit ribosomal RNA
Source: RNAcentral
AGUGAACGCUGGCGGUAGGCCUAACACAUGCAAGUCGAACGGCAGCACAGUAAGAGCUUGCUCUUACGGGUGGCGAGUGGCGGACGGGUGAGGAAUACAUCGGAAUCUACUUUUUCGUGGGGGAUAACGUAGGGAAACUUACGCUAAUACCGCAUACGACCUACGGGUGAAAGCAGGGGAUCUUCGGACCUUGCGCGAUUGAAUGAGCCGAUGUCGGAUUAGCUAGUUGGCGGGGUAAAGGCCCACCAAGGCGACGAUCCGUAGCUGGUCUGAGAGGAUGAUCAGCCACAAUGGAACUGAGAAACGGUCCCGACUCCUACGGGAGGCAGAAGUGGGGAAUAUUGGACAAUGGGCGCAAGCCUGAUCCAGCCAUACCGCGUGGGUGAAGAAGGCCUUCGGGUUGUAAAGCCCUUUUGUUGGGAAAGAAAAGCAGCAGGUUAAUACCCCGCUGUUCUGACGGUACCCAAAGAAUAAGCACCGGCUAACUUCGUG